Molecule: long non-coding RNA, 2594 nt
Organism: Bombina bombina (fire-bellied toad)
Lineage: Eukaryota; Metazoa; Chordata; Amphibia; Anura; Bombinatoridae
Exons: 6
Source: RefSeq, a predicted model, not a curated record
AAUAAAGGUCUUUUAUAUGAAGUUGGUGGCUGGAGUUUUUUGAUGUUUAUGGAUACUGAAGAGACCUGGCAAGUCUACUACUCCGUGCCCCACUAAAAGAACGUACAGGUGUGCUGUUCCCACUAUUUUGAAUUUAUUGAAUAUUCCCUGUGGUUUCUAGUUACGCCUCUGGCCUGGAGUAAAUUUUUCUCUGCUUUCUUAGACCUUCUUCUCCUUUUGUUUCAUUUUCUUGGGUUAUGUGUAUCCCCUGGUAAAUUGGAGAUGGAUCCCGUUAAAACUAAAGCCAUAAUAACCUGGCCUGUUCCUUCAACAAAAGAGGGUGUACAAUGCUUUCUAGGCUUCUAUCAUUUUUACCGGAAAUUCACACGAGAUUUUUCAAAAUUAGUUCAGCCCAUUACAGUAUUAACCAAAAAAGACACCAAAUUCUUCUGGUCACCACAGGCACAAAGGGCAUUUGAAGAAUUAAAGAGGUUAUUCACCUCUUUCCCUAUACUAAUAUUACCCAUGGUCAAUCAACCCUAUUUCCUGGAGGUUGAUGCUUCAGAAACAGCUGUUGCAGCAAUAUUAUCACAAUGUGCUGGUCCAAAGAAUUUAAUACAUCCUGUGGCAUAUUUCUCUCGCUCCUUAUCUUCAGCAGAAAGAAAUUAUGAUGUUGAAGAUAGAGAGUUAUUGGCAAUAAAAUUGGUGCUAGAAGAAUGGAGACAUUUAUAGGAAGGUACCAGUCAUCAAGUAACCAUUUAUACUGAUCAUAGGAAUCUGGAAUAUUUACAGUCUGCAUGAAGAUUAAAACCCAGGCAAGCAAGGUGGGCUUUGUUCUUUAGUUGUUUUUCUUUAAUCAUAACUUACAGACCUGGUUCAAGCAAUGGUAAGGCCGAUGCACUAUCCCAUAUGAUCAGUGGCGUAUUAAGCUUUUGUGCUGCCCUAGGCACUCAAAAUUCUGCUGCCCCCCUACCUUCCCCACCCCAAGGUUUUAGGCCUUUUUUAACCAUAAUAUUUCAUGCUAUUUCCAAAGAAAAUGUUAUAAUCCACUACUGGAGCUGUCUGCUACUGGGAUAAAAACUGCUGAAAUGUCACACAGACACAAUAUAUGACAAUAUAUAGAAAGAUGUAAUUUUAUAUAGUGAAAGUAAUUAGAGACAAAAACAGUGACGGGUGGUAAAGUUUUGAGAUAGUGAGCACCUAGGCUCCUCUCAAACUCUACAACUGUGAAACCCAACCACUGUACCUGCUUCAUAUUGUAACAUCUGCACACAAAUACAUAUAAACACACAUCUAUAUUCACAAUUUCCACACUGCAAUCAAAUCAUCACUAAAUUACAUUCCCUAUGCAUAAUGCAAGCAAAUCCUUUAUUUGAAAACUUAUGGCGAGAUUACGAGUUUGGCGUUAACAGGGGUGCGGGGCUAACAAGGCUUUUUUUUUACUAACACUACCUUAAGCCAACGCUGGUAUUACAGGUUUUUUUAAACCUGACGUUAGCCGCAAAAAGGUGAUCGUAGAGCAGAAUUUAGCUCCACAUCACACCUCAAUACCAGCGUUGCUUACAGUAGCGGUAAGCUGGCUAAACGUGCUCGUGCACGAUUUCCCCAUAGGAAACAAUGGAGCUGAGCUAACACCUGCAAAAAAGCAGCGUCCAGCUUCUAACACAGCCCCAUUGUUUCCUAUGGGAAAAUAAAAAAUAUGUCUGCACCUAACACCCUAACAUAAACCCUGAGUCUAAACACCCCUAGUCUUACACUUAUUAACCCCUAAUCUGCCGCCCCCGCUAUCGCUGACACCUACAUUAUAUUAUUAACCCCUAAACUGCCGUUCCGGACACCGCUGCCACCUACAUUAUCCCGUAUGGAGGACCACUUGUGCCUGACUGGGUGAAGACGGCUCAAGUCAGCUCUCUGUACUGCCGUUCACGCAUACACAGUUGCGCUUCACGGACGCCCUGGAGACUGACGAUGGCUUGUCACGGUGGAGGUUGUGGGUGAUAAAGGGUUUUUGUUUUAAGAAUCUGACAUUGAAUUUGUCAGACAACAAAGGGGUUAAAAUUGAAAGGCAAUAGAUUUCUCCACAUCCCUCCUCCCCUCACAGUCUUCAGGAAUAUAAAAGAACGGUAAAGACUCCUGUUUUGAAAUCAUAUAAACUUCAUUGGAAGAAGAUAGGAAGCCGGCAGGUUUGUGGAAUACACAAGAUGAAUCUAUCCAUUGUUGGAGUUCUAUUUCUAUUGUUAUGUGUCCAGAGUAGAUCUGUACGAAAUGAACGUUGGAACACGUUGGACCAGUCUGAGAAUAGAGAUCUGUUUCUAAGUGCCUUACAGGCAUAUUUUAGCAGACGAGGGAUCCACGUUGACAGAACUGCUCCUUCAUUUAUUAUCCUCUCCACAAAACUUCGAAAUAUCCGUGAUUCAGAGCCCAGUGACGAUGAUUUUCUAGAGUCUGAACUAAAAGCCCACGGAUUAAACAAGGACUUUGAAUCGGAAAAAUUAUUCUGAUCAGAGUACAGCUAUGACAGCAGAUGAUCCAAAGGUCCAAUAAGAAUGUGUUUUUUUUUUAAUCUGGGUAACAUUGGAAAUAAUGAAGAAAUAAAAUGAACCACAAACAUUUAA